RNAcentral lists this ribosomal RNA (228 nucleotides) under Triticum aestivum (bread wheat). Its description in RNAcentral is "partial small subunit ribosomal RNA". The record is from RNAcentral. Lineage: Eukaryota; Viridiplantae; Streptophyta; Magnoliopsida; Poales; Poaceae.
GGCCUCUUCCUCCCCUGCGUCGGCGUGUGGCAGCAUGACCGGGUUGAGAUCAUCGCCAACGACCAGGGCAACCGUACCACGCCCUCCUACGUCGCCUUCACCGACACCGAGCGCCUCAUCGGCAACGCCGCCAAGAACCAGGUCGCCAUGAACCCCACCAACACCGUCUUCGGUACAUGCCACCCUCCCUCCCUCCCGACCCGCUGUGUAUCAUGCGUCGUCUGUUAG